RNAcentral lists this small RNA (287 nucleotides) under Pongo abelii (Sumatran orangutan). Its description in RNAcentral is "processed transcript". The record is from RNAcentral. Lineage: Eukaryota; Metazoa; Chordata; Mammalia; Primates; Hominidae.
GCGCGCUUCUCCGUCUGGAACUUCCCACCUGCAUGUACCGGCUCCCCAACGUGCAAUGCUGGAGCCGCGGCCCAGCGCCCUGCGUUGGCCACGUGCGGAAGGCAGUGACUUUGAAGAUAGCUUCAAUCGCAAUGUGAAGAAGAAAGCAAAAGGACCACCGAAAACAACGCCGGUGGCAAACAUCCAAAGAAAGGUUCCGAGUGGCACAUCGUCAUAGCCGGAAACAGUCAGAGCCACCAGCCAAUGAUCUUUUCAAUGCUGUGAAAGCCACCAAAAGUGACAUGAAG